GCGAAAUGUUGGCCUCCAACACCCAUACGCGAAGAGCAUCCUUGAAGGACAAAUCGUCGGGUCCGAAAAAGACGCAUCACUAUCAGAACAGUGUGCAGCUGAAAACAAGCAACAUUAAAAACACUGCAACAAAUCCAAUCAUAGCAAACAAUACCUAAUUCAUCCCCCGACAAUGGAAUAUCAUGCUCAAUCACUGGAGCAGCGGAUUGAGCAAGUGGCUCUGGUGUUGCUGUAAGAAUUUUUGGUUAGUAAUAUUAGCAUCAGUCCACCACGGUCCGUCUACACAAGCUUUUUACCAGUCGGUGCCGAAUAUUGGUAGCUACAUCCUGCUUCCUCCAUAUCCAUGUCCCAUUCCCUUGCAUAUUGCUUCAACAAGCUAUCACGCUUCCGAUACGAGGAACCAGUCUUUUUAUCACGCUGUGCUGCCAUCGUAAAGUUUUAGUUUUUUCCAAAAUUAACUGAUCACGGUGAAAAAUAAAUAUAUUUGUGUUGCUUCGAGCUGCUGUCAAACGAA
Molecule: long non-coding RNA, 514 nt
Organism: Anopheles arabiensis
Lineage: Eukaryota; Metazoa; Arthropoda; Insecta; Diptera; Culicidae
Exons: 2
Source: RefSeq, a predicted model, not a curated record